CCUACGGGAGGCAGCAGUGGGGAAUAUUGGGCAAUGGACGCAAGUCUGACCCAGCAACGCCGCGUGAAGGAAGAAGGCUUUCGGGUUGUAAACUUCUUUUAAGGGGGAAGAGCAGAAGACGGUACCCCUUGAAUAAGCCACGGCUAACUACGUGCCAGCAGCCGCGGUAAUACGUAGGUGGCAAGCGUUGUCCGGAUUUACUGGGUGUAAAGGGCGUGCAGCCGGGAAGACAAGUCAGAUGUGAAAUCCCGCGGCUCAACCGCGGAACUGCAUUUGAAACUGUAGUUCUUGAGUACUGGAGGGGCAGGCGGAAUUCCUAGUGUAGCGGUGAAAUGCGUAGAUAUUAGGAGGAACACCGGUGGCGAAGGCGGCCUGCUGGACUGUGACUGACGUUGAGGCCCGAAGGCGUGGGGAGCAAACAGGAUUAGAUACCCUUGUAGUC
This 442-nucleotide ribosomal RNA is filed under the name uncultured bacterium. RNAcentral's name for it is "partial 16S ribosomal RNA". It matches the Rfam family "Bacterial small subunit ribosomal RNA", at positions 338 to 795 of the family's 1533-position model. The record is from RNAcentral.